AACGAACGCUGGCGGCGCGCUUAACACAUGCAAGUCGAACGAGAAGGCGUAGCAAUACGCUUGUACAGUGGCGAACGGGUGAGGAAUACAUGGGUAACCUACCCUCGAGUGGGGGGAUAACCCGCCGAAAGGCGGGCUAAUACCGCGUACGCUUCCGAUCUUGCGGGAUUGGAAGGAAAGCUGUCCCUUGGGGAUGGCGCUCAAGGAUGGGCUCAUGUCCUAUCAGCUUGUUGGAGGGUAACGGCCUACCAAGGCAUCGACGGGUAGCUGGUCUGAGAGGACGAUCAGCCACACUGGCACUGCGACACGGGCCAGACUCCUACGGGAGGCAGCAAGUGAGGAAUAUUGCGCAAUGGGCGAAAGCCUGACGCAGCGACGCCGCGUGGGGGAUGAAGGUCUUCGGAUUGUAAACCCC
Molecule: ribosomal RNA, 415 nt
Filed under: uncultured bacterium
Lineage: Bacteria
Description: bacterial SSU rRNA
Rfam family: Bacterial small subunit ribosomal RNA
Source: RNAcentral